GGGAGUCGUGGAGGGAACUUUCCCAGGCCCCGAGGCGGAUCGGGUAUUGAGUCCAUGGAGCGAGCUGAGAGCUAGAGAACCUGCUAAGGCCAUCAAACCUAUCGAUCGGAAGUCAGUCCAUCAGAUUUGCUCUGGGCCGGUGGUACUGAGUCUAAGCACUGCGGUGAAGGAGUUAGUAGAAAACAGUCUGGAUGCUGGUGCCACCAAUAUUGAUCUAAAGCUUAAGGACUAUGGAGUGGAUCUCAUUGAAGUUUCAGACAAUGGAUGUGGGGUAGAAGAAGAAAACUUUGAAGGCUUAACGAUGUCACCAUUUCUACCUGCCACGCAUCGGCGAAGGUUGGGACUCGACUGGUGUUUGAUCACGAUGGGAAAAUCAUCCAGAAAACCCCCUACCCCCACCCCAGAGGGACCACAGUCAGCGUGAAGCAGUUAUUUUCUACACUACCUGUGCACCAUAAGGAAUUUCAAAGGAAUAUUAAGAAGGUACAGUAAAUUAAUCCUGGUUUUCAAGAGUAUUGGUUAAUGCACAUGAGCAAAAGAUUUACUAAAGAUGUUUAUUCU
Molecule: long non-coding RNA, 561 nt
Organism: Homo sapiens (human)
Lineage: Eukaryota; Metazoa; Chordata; Mammalia; Primates; Hominidae
Gene: PMS2P4
Product: PMS1 homolog 2, mismatch repair system component pseudogene 4
Source: Ensembl